RNAcentral lists this long non-coding RNA (570 nucleotides) under Homo sapiens (human). RNAcentral's name for it is "non-protein coding lnc-TMEM161B-9:2". Lineage: Eukaryota; Metazoa; Chordata; Mammalia; Primates; Hominidae. The record is from RNAcentral.
AAUUGCCACCUGUGAAUAGUGAAGAAACUUCUCACUAUGAGAUUCCAUUGCCCGGAAGGAGGGUAGAGCUACGGUACCCACUAAGGCAGGGAACAGAAGCAACAGACGGACAGGGUCCUCGCAAGCGCAGCCACCACGAUCCGCCCGCCCACGUACCUGUGCUGCGCCUGCGCCUCCUCCGCUCUCUCAAGGUCAGCACCGCCCCCAGCCCACAACCUGGCACCCACGGAAGUUGCUUUAGAGGACGUCCUGCGUAUCUUCACCUCUGCGUGGCGUGGGGUCGACGGCGCUCUGGAGAAGGGAGGAACUUCCUGUCCCGCGCGCGCACAACUUCCGGCAGAGCCGGAAGACCCUCUCUUUCGCUGUUUGAGAGUCUCUCGGCUCAAGGACCGGGAGGGUGUGAUAGGUAUACAGCUGGUUGUUACCAUGGUGAUGGCCAGUGUCAUGCAGAAGAUUAUACCUCACUAUUCUCUUGCUCGAUGGCUACUCUGUAAUGGCAGUUUGAGGUGGUAUCAACAUCCUACAGAAGAAGAAUUAAGAAUUCUUGCAGGGAAACAACAAAAAGGGAAA